ACACUUGAUGAUUGCAUGACAGAGGCAGCGACAUUUCAAAUGCCUUCUACUCUUAGACGGUUGUUUGCGAAUAUACUGGUAUUCUGUGAGGCAACACAAAUCCAUCAAUUGUAGGACAAACAUCUAGCAUCCAUGUCUGAAGAUUAUCGCCGUACUAAAUCGAAUGAGGAAGGACUUGAGCAAAUGGUCCUUAGGGAUAUCAGGGGUCUGCUGCAAACCAUGGGAAAUGAUAUUAAACUCUAUGGACUUCCAGAUCUGGUUGACGCAGAUGGUUCUUCUAACAUUGACAAUACAGAGGUAACAGAGGAGAGACAGGUCAAAGUGGACCAAGAACAUCUAGAUCGAUUCAGCUGUUUGAACAAUGAGCAACUAUCUGGUUUCAAUGACAUAAUGGAUCAUGUGACGAACCAAAAAAGGCAGAUAUUCUUUGUUGACGGUCCAGGAGGAACUAGGAAGACGUACAUGUACAAGGCGUUGCUUGCACAGGUCCGUUCGAUGGGCCUAAUAGCGAUCGCAACUGCUACAUCAGUUAUAGAAAUGAAAAAGUACAGACUUUAA
Molecule: ribosomal RNA, 558 nt
Filed under: Triticum aestivum (bread wheat)
Lineage: Eukaryota; Viridiplantae; Streptophyta; Magnoliopsida; Poales; Poaceae
Description: partial small subunit ribosomal RNA
Source: RNAcentral